UACGUAGAGUGCGAGCGUUAAUCGGAAUUACUGGGCGUAAAGCGUGCGCAGGCGGUUUUGUAAGCCAGAUGGGAAAUCCCCGGGCUCAACCUGGGAAUGGCAUUUGGGACUGCAAGGCUGGAGUACGGCAGAGGAGACUGGAAUUCCUGGUGUAGCAGUGAAAUGCGUAGAUAUCAGGAGGAAUACCGAUGGCGAAGGCAGGUCUCUGGGCUGAUACUGACGCUCAUGCACGAAAGCGUGGGGAGCAAACAGG
RNAcentral lists this ribosomal RNA (253 nucleotides) under uncultured bacterium. RNAcentral's name for it is "partial 16S ribosomal RNA". It matches the Rfam family "Bacterial small subunit ribosomal RNA", at positions 524 to 776 of the family's 1533-position model. The record is from RNAcentral.